UGGGUUGCAGAGAGAUAAGACUGCCGAGGU
Molecule: non-coding RNA, 30 nt
Filed under: Homo sapiens (human)
Lineage: Eukaryota; Metazoa; Chordata; Mammalia; Primates; Hominidae
Source: RNAcentral